RNAcentral lists this ribosomal RNA (2902 nucleotides) under Escherichia coli. RNAcentral's name for it is "bacterial LSU rRNA". It matches the Rfam family "Bacterial large subunit ribosomal RNA". RNAcentral also lists the same sequence under 1 other name. Lineage: Bacteria; Pseudomonadati; Pseudomonadota; Gammaproteobacteria; Enterobacterales; Enterobacteriaceae. The record is from RNAcentral.
UUAAGCGACUAAGCGUACACGGUGGAUGCCCUGGCAGUCAGAGGCGAUGAAGGACGUGCUAAUCUGCGAUAAGCGUCGGUAAGGUGAUAUGAACCGUUAUAACCGGCGAUUUCCGAAUGGGGAAACCCAGUGUGAUUCGUCACACUAUCAUUAACUGAAUCCAUAGGUUAAUGAGGCGAACCGGGGGAACUGAAACAUCUAAGUACCCCGAGGAAAAGAAAUCAACCGAGAUUCCCCCAGUAGCGGCGAGCGAACGGGGAGCAGCCCAGAGCCUGAAUCAGUGUGUGUGUUAGUGGAAGCGUCUGGAAAGGCGCGCGAUACAGGGUGACAGCCCCGUACACAAAAAUGCACAUACUGUGAGCUCGAUGAGUAGGGCGGGACACGUGGUAUCCUGUCUGAAUAUGGGGGGACCAUCCUCCAAGGCUAAAUACUCCUGACUGACCGAUAGUGAACCAGUACCGUGAGGGAAAGGCGAAAAGAACCCCGGCGAGGGGAGUGAAAAAGAACCUGAAACCGUGUACGUACAAGCAGUGGGAGCACGCUUAGGCGUGUGACUGCGUACCUUUUGUAUAAUGGGUCAGCGACUUAUAUUCUGUAGCAAGGUUAACCGAAUAGGGGAGCCGAAGGGAAACCGAGUCUUAACUGGGCGUUAAGUUGCAGGGUAUAGACCCGAAACCCGGUGAUCUAGCCAUGGGCAGGUUGAAGGUUGGGUAACACUAACUGGAGGACCGAACCGACUAAUGUUGAAAAAUUAGCGGAUGACUUGUGGCUGGGGGUGAAAGGCCAAUCAAACCGGGAGAUAGCUGGUUCUCCCCGAAAGCUAUUUAGGUAGCGCCUCGUGAAUUCAUCUCCGGGGGUAGAGCACUGUUUCGGCAAGGGGGUCAUCCCGACUUACCAACCCGAUGCAAACUGCGAAUACCGGAGAAUGUUAUCACGGGAGACACACGGCGGGUGCUAACGUCCGUCGUGAAGAGGGAAACAACCCAGACCGCCAGCUAAGGUCCCAAAGUCAUGGUUAAGUGGGAAACGAUGUGGGAAGGCCCAGACAGCCAGGAUGUUGGCUUAGAAGCAGCCAUCAUUUAAAGAAAGCGUAAUAGCUCACUGGUCGAGUCGGCCUGCGCGGAAGAUGUAACGGGGCUAAACCAUGCACCGAAGCUGCGGCAGCGACGCUUAUGCGUUGUUGGGUAGGGGAGCGUUCUGUAAGCCUGCGAAGGUGUGCUGUGAGGCAUGCUGGAGGUAUCAGAAGUGCGAAUGCUGACAUAAGUAACGAUAAAGCGGGUGAAAAGCCCGCUCGCCGGAAGACCAAGGGUUCCUGUCCAACGUUAAUCGGGGCAGGGUGAGUCGACCCCUAAGGCGAGGCCGAAAGGCGUAGUCGAUGGGAAACAGGUUAAUAUUCCUGUACUUGGUGUUACUGCGAAGGGGGGACGGAGAAGGCUAUGUUGGCCGGGCGACGGUUGUCCCGGUUUAAGCGUGUAGGCUGGUUUUCCAGGCAAAUCCGGAAAAUCAAGGCUGAGGCGUGAUGACGAGGCACUACGGUGCUGAAGCAACAAAUGCCCUGCUUCCAGGAAAAGCCUCUAAGCAUCAGGUAACAUCAAAUCGUACCCCAAACCGACACAGGUGGUCAGGUAGAGAAUACCAAGGCGCUUGAGAGAACUCGGGUGAAGGAACUAGGCAAAAUGGUGCCGUAACUUCGGGAGAAGGCACGCUGAUAUGUAGGUGAAGUCCCUCGCGGAUGGAGCUGAAAUCAGUCGAAGAUACCAGCUGGCUGCAACUGUUUAUUAAAAACACAGCACUGUGCAAACACGAAAGUGGACGUAUACGGUGUGACGCCUGCCCGGUGCCGGAAGGUUAAUUGAUGGGGUCAGCGCAAGCGAAGCUCUUGAUCGAAGCCCCGGUAAACGGCGGCCGUAACUAUAACGGUCCUAAGGUAGCGAAAUUCCUUGUCGGGUAAGUUCCGACCUGCACGAAUGGCGUAAUGAUGGCCAGGCUGUCUCCACCCGAGACUCAGUGAAAUUGAACUCGCUGUGAAGAUGCAGUGUACCCGCGGCAAGACGGAAAGACCCCGUGAACCUUUACUAUAGCUUGACACUGAACAUUGAGCCUUGAUGUGUAGGAUAGGUGGGAGGCUUUGAAGUGUGGACGCCAGUCUGCAUGGAGCCGACCUUGAAAUACCACCCUUUAAUGUUUGAUGUUCUAACGUUGACCCGUGAUCCGGGUUGCGGACAGUGUCUGGUGGGUAGUUUGACUGGGGCGGUCUCCUCCUAAAGAGUAACGGAGGAGCACGAAGGUUGGCUAAUCCUGGUCGGACAUCAGGAGGUUAGUGCAAUGGCAUAAGCCAGCUUGACUGCGAGCGUGACGGCGCGAGCAGGUGCGAAAGCAGGUCAUAGUGAUCCGGUGGUUCUGAAUGGAAGGGCCAUCGCUCAACGGAUAAAAGGUACUCCGGGGAUAACAGGCUGAUACCGCCCAAGAGUUCAUAUCGACGGCGGUGUUUGGCACCUCGAUGUCGGCUCAUCACAUCCUGGGGCUGAAGUAGGUCCCAAGGGUAUGGCUGUUCGCCAUUUAAAGUGGUACGCGAGCUGGGUUUAGAACGUCGUGAGACAGUUCGGUCCCUAUCUGCCGUGGGCGCUGGAGAACUGAGGGGGGCUGCUCCUAGUACGAGAGGACCGGAGUGGACGCAUCACUGGUGUUCGGGUUGUCAUGCCAAUGGCACUGCCCGGUAGCUAAAUGCGGAAGAGAUAAGUGCUGAAAGCAUCUAAGCACGAAACUUGCCCCGAGAUGAGUUCUCCCUGACUCCUUGAGAGUCCUGAAGGAACGUUGAAGACGACGACGUUGAUAGGCCGGGUGUGUAAGCGCAGCGAUGCGUUGAGCUAACCGGUACUAAUGAACCGUGAGGCUUAACCUU